Molecule: ribosomal RNA, 523 nt
Filed under: uncultured bacterium
Lineage: Bacteria
Description: bacterial SSU rRNA
Rfam family: Bacterial small subunit ribosomal RNA
Source: RNAcentral
UGGGGAAUUUUGCGCAAUGGGGGAAACCCUGACGCAGCAACGCCGCGUGGAGGAUGAAGUCCCUUGGGACGUAAACUCCUUUCGAUCGGGACGAUAAUGACGGUACCGGAAGAAGAAGCCCCGGCUAACUUCGUGCCAGCAGCCGCGGUAAUACGAGGGGGGCAAGCGUUGUUCGGAAUUAUUGGGCGUAAAGGGUGCGUAGGUGGUUCGGCAAGUCUUGUGUGAAAUCUUCAGGCUCAACUUGAAGUCUGCACAAGAAACUGCCGGGCUCGAGUGUGGGAGAGGUGAGUGGAAUUUCCGGUGUAGCGGUGAAAUGCGUAGAUAUCGGAAGGAACACCUGUGGCGAAAGCGGCUCACUGGACCACAACUGACGCUGAUGCACGAAAGCUAGGGGAGCAAACAGGAUUAGAUACCCUGGUAGUCCUAGCCCUAAACCAUGAUUGCUUGGUGUGACGGGUACCCAAUCCCGCCGUGCCGUAGCUAACGCGUUAAGCAAUCCGCCUGGGGAGUACGGUCGCAAGGC